AAAAACUUUUUAAAAUUCAAAUGGAAACUUUUUCGCGGGAAAAAAUGCCGUCACCCCCCACUCCUCCGUUACCCGAAAUCCUCAGCCAAAAAAUUUCAAACGGCACAACGUCUUCAACCGGCAACAUGACCGCGCGGAUUUUUAGUCUCGGCAACCACUCAUCCAAUUUUUCAUUAAUUAAGUCGACGCAAAUAAUCUCUCGCGUAGAGAAUCGAAGAUCACUUAUGAAUAGCGAGCUGAAUUACGAAUGGAGACAGCUGGAACGUGAAAUAUGGCACGUGGUGCAGACAGGAAUGGCUGCGCCUUAUGGUGGGGGUGUAUUUCCACCUCCGGUUAACGGAGUAACUGGGGUCGUGGGGGCCUCGGGAGCUGCUGGAGAAGUAAAACCACCUCCGCCAGUACCGGUAAAAGAGGAAAAUACCGGAUCUCAGCAGCAAGCAACCCCUGGAGGGCCACAAAUACAAACCACACAAGGGACGCAACAUCAAACUGCGCCAGGUGCGCCGGCUGCAACUAGUUUUAGUCCACCACCUCCUCCAAAUGGGGUUGAUCAACAGGCAAUUUCAGAGGUAUUUCAAGCAGCAGUGCAAGCAGCAGCAGUGCAAGCCGCAGCAGUAGCAGCAGCGAACAGCGGAGGUCAGCAACCAGCACCAACCUCAGGUGGGACUGAAGCAAGUCCUGAGGGUGGAGUUGAGAAUAACAGCAUGGUGCCCGUUACGUCGGGAGCGACGACACCGGCGACAGCGACACAAGGAACUGACCUCAAGGGUCAGCCAAAGCGACUCCACGUCAGCAACAUACCUUUUCGUUUCAGAGACCCUGAUCUCAGGGCAAUGUUUGGACAAUACGGUCCUAUUUUGGAUGUAGAAAUAAUAUUUAACGAACGUGGGAGUAAGGGAUUCGGUUUUGUAACAUUCGCGAAUAGUGCCCAUGCGGACCAGGCACGUGAGAGGCUACACGGCACCGUGGUUGAGGGCAGAAAGAUUGAGGUGAACAACGCAACAGCGAGAGUGCAGACGAAAAAACCACCGACAGUGCCAAAUGUUUGUGUCCAAUGGCCAGAGGGAUACAGGUUGCCGGCCGUGCCCUGGAGUUGGCUAGGAGCGGCCGCGCCAUCGGCAGCCGCAGCAGCCGCUGUAGCAGCAGCCGCAGUGACGCCAUCCCCUGCAGCUGCACCCCUUGUCCUCGCCCCAAGAGCUGCGGCGAGACGGAGCUGCAGCAUUAAGAGGUGUUGCUAUUCAGCGAGGAAGAGUUGGUCCAGCAGCCAGAGCCGCUUUUCCAGCUGGCGCGGCAUUAGCACUUGCACGUAAUCCAGGACCUCUCGCAGCAGCCGCUGCUGCUACGGCUUUACAUCCCUUUGCAUCAACUGUCUACUACGACCCCUUCUUAGCAGCACACGCAGCGACGCAAGAUCCAAACUACAGGCUGCAGGCAGCAGCAGCAGCCGCGGCGGCAUCUCCUCUCUUGAAGACUCCUCUGUCGACAGCUCAACAAGCGACUUAUGCAGCG
RNAcentral lists this unclassified non-coding RNA (1509 nucleotides) under Cotesia glomerata. Its description in RNAcentral is "rNA binding protein fox-1 homolog 2, transcript variant X15". The record is from RNAcentral. Lineage: Eukaryota; Metazoa; Arthropoda; Insecta; Hymenoptera; Braconidae.